CGAUAAAGCGGGUGAAAAGCCCGCUCGCCGGAAGACCAAGGGUUCCUGUCCAACGUUAAUCGGGGCAGGGUGAGUCGACCCCUAAGGCGAGGCCGAAAGGCGUAGUCGAUGGGAAACAGGUUAAUAUUCCUGUACUUGGUGUUACUGCGAAGGGGGGACGGAGAAGGCUAUGUUGGCCGGGCGACGGUUGUCCCGGUUUAAGCGUGUAGGCUGGUUUUCCAGGCAAAUCCGGAAAACUAAGGCUGAGGCGUGAUGACGAGGCACUACGGUGCUGAAGCAACAAAUGCCCUGCUUCCAGGAAAAGCCUCUAAGCAUCAGGUAACAUCAAAUCGUACCCCAAACCGACACAGGUGGUCAGGUAGAGAAUACCAAGGCGCUUGAGAGAACUCGGGUGAAGGAACUAGGCAAAAUGGUGCCGUAACUUCGGGAGAAGGCACGCUGAUAUGUAGGUGAAGUCCCUCGCGGAUGGAGCUGAAAUCAGUCGAAGAUACCAGCUGGCUGCAACUGUUUAUUAAAAACACAGCACUGUGCAAACACGAAAGUGGACGUAUACGGUGUGACGCCUGCCCGGUGCCGGAAGGUUAAUUGAUGGGGUCAGCGCAAGCGAAGCUCUUGAUCGAAGCCCCGGUAAACGGCGGCCGUAACUAUAACGGUCCUAAGGUAGCGAAAUUCCUUGUCGGGUAAGUUCCGACCUGCACGAAUGGCGUAAUGAUGGCCAGGCUGUCUCCACCCGAGACUCAGUGAAAUUGAACUCGCUGUGAAGAUGCAGUGUACCCGCGGCAAGACGGAAAGACCCCGUGAACCUUUACUAUAGCUUGACACUGAACAUUGAGCCUUGAUGUGUAGGAUAGGUGGGAGGCUUUGAAGUGUGGACGCCAGUCUGCAUGGAGCCGACCUUGAAAUACCACCCUUUAAUGUUUGAUGUUCUAACGUUGACCCGUAAUCCGGGUUGCGGACAGUGUCUGGUGGGUAGUUUGACUGGGGCGGUCUCCUCCUAAAGAGUAACGGAGGAGCACGAAGGUUGGCUAAUCCUGGUCGGACAUCAGGAGGUUAGUGCAAUGGCAUAAGCCAGCUUGACUGCGAGCGUGACGGCGCGAGCAGGUGCGAAAGCAGGUCAUAGUGAUCCGGUGGUUCUGAAUGGAAGGGCCAUCGCUCAACGGAUAAAAGGUACUCCGGGGAUAACAGGCUGAUACCGCCCAAGAGUUCAUAUCGACGGCGGUGUUUGGCACCUCGAUGUCGGCUCAUCACAUCCUGGGGCUGAAGUAGGUCCCAAGGGUAUGGCUGUUCGCCAUUUAAAGUGGUACGCGAGCUGGGUUUAGAACGUCGUGAGACAGUUCGGUCCCUAUCUGCCGUGGGCGCUGGAGAACUGAGGGGGGCUGCUCCUAGUACGAGAGGACCGGAGUGGACGCAUCACUGGUGUUCGGGUUGUCAUGCCAAUGGCACUGCCCGGUAGCUAAAUGCGGAAGAGAUAAGUGCUGAAAGCAUCUAAGCACGAAACUUGCCCCGAGAUGAGUUCUCCCUGACUCCUUGAGAGUCCUGAAGGAACGUUGAAG
This 1553-nucleotide ribosomal RNA is filed under the name Escherichia coli. RNAcentral describes it as "partial 23S ribosomal RNA". It matches the Rfam family "Bacterial large subunit ribosomal RNA", at positions 1310 to 2843 of the family's 2925-position model. Lineage: Bacteria; Pseudomonadati; Pseudomonadota; Gammaproteobacteria; Enterobacterales; Enterobacteriaceae. The record is from RNAcentral.